GAAAGAAAGAUUAAUACCCGAUGGCAUAAUAGAACCGCAUGGUUUGAUUAUUAAAGAAUUUCGGUUAUCGAUGGGGAUGCGUUCCAUUAGGCAGUUGGUGGGGUAACGGCCCACCAAACCUUCGAUGGAUAGGGGUUCUGAGAGGAAGGUCCCCCACAUUGGAACUGAGACGCGGUCCAAACUCCUACGGGAGGCAGCAGUGAGGAAUAUUGGUCAAUGGACGAGAGUCUGAACCAGCCAAGUAGCGUGAAGGAUGACUGCCCUAUGGGUUGUAAACUUCUUUUAUAUGGGAAUAAAGUGGUCCACGUGUGGAUUUUUGUAUGUACCAUAUGAAUAAGGAUCGGCUAACUCCGUGCCAGCAGCCGCGGUAAUACGGAGGAUCCGAGCGUUAUCCGGAUUUAUUGGGUUUAAAGAGAGCGUAGGUGGACAGUUAAGUCAGUUGUGAAAGUUUGCGGCUCAACCGUAAAAUUGCAGUUGAUACUGGCUGUCUUGAGUACAGUAGAGGUGGGCGGAAUUCGUGGUGUAGCGGUGAAAUGCUUAGAUAUCACGAAGAACUCCGAUUGCGAAGGCAGCUCACUGGACUGCAACUGACACUGAUGCUCGAAAGUGUGGGUAUCAAACAGGAUUAGAUACCCUGGUAGUCCACACAGUAAACGAUGAAUACUCGCUGUUUGCGAUAUACAGUAAGCGGC
RNAcentral lists this ribosomal RNA (692 nucleotides) under uncultured bacterium. RNAcentral describes it as "bacterial SSU rRNA". It matches the Rfam family "Bacterial small subunit ribosomal RNA", at positions 153 to 847 of the family's 1533-position model. The record is from RNAcentral.